GAAACGACUGCUAGACUGGAUAGGAGACAAGAAGGCAUCUUCUUGUUUUUAAAAGACCUAGCAAUAGGUAUGCUUAGGGAGGAGCUUGCGUCACAUUAGUUAGUUGGUGGGGUAAAGGCCUACCAAGACUAUGAUGUGUAGCCGGGCUGAGAGGUUGAACGGCCACAUUGGGACUGAGACACGGCCCAAACUCCUACGGGAGGCAGCAGUAGGGAAUUUUCGGCAAUGGAGGAAACUCUGACCGAGCAACGCCGCGUGAACGAUGAAGUAUUUCGGUACGUAAAGUUCUUUUAUUAGGGAAGAAUAAAUGAUGGAAAAAUCAUUCUGACGGUACCUAAUGAAUAAGCCCCGGCUAACUAUGUGCCAGCAGCCGCGGUAAUACAUAGGGGGCAAGCGUUAUCCGGAAUUAUUGGGCGUAAAGGGUGCGUAGGCGGUUAAAUAAGUUUAUGGUCUAAGUGCAAUGCUCAACAUUGUGAUGCUAUAAAAACUGUUUAGCUAGAGUAAGAUAGAGGCAAGUGGAAUUCCAUGUGUAGUGGUAAAAUGCGUAAAUAUAUGGAGGAACACCAGUAGCGAAGGCGGCUUGCUGGGUCUUUACUGACGCUGAGGCACGAAAGCGUGGGGAGCAAACAGGAUUAGAUACCCUGGUAGUCCACGCCGUAAACGAUGAGUACUAAACGUUGGGUAAAACCAGUGUUGAAGUUAACACAUUAAGUACUCCGCCUGAGUAGUACGUACGCAAGUAUGAAACUUAAAGGAAUUGACGGGACUCCGCACAAGCGGUGGAUCAUGUUGUUUAAUUCGAAGGUACCCGAAAAACCUCACCAGGUCUUGACAUGCUUCUGCAAAGCUGUAAAAACACAGUGGAGGUUAUCAGUUGCACAGGUGGUGCAUGGUUGUCGUCCAGCUCGUGUCGUGAGAUGUUGGGUUAAGUCCCCGCAACGAGCGCAACCCUUAUUGUUAGUUACCAGCACGUAAUGGUGGGGACUUUAGCAAGACUGCCAGUGAUAAAUUGGAGGAAGGUGGGGACGACGUCAAAUCAUCAUGCCCCUUAUGACCUGGGCUACAAACGUGAUACAAUGGCUGUUACAAAGGGUAGCUGAAGCGCAAGUUUUUGGCGAAUCUCAAAAAAACAGUCUCAGUUCGGAUUGAAGUCUGCAACUCGACUUCAUGAAGUUGGAAUCGCUAGUAAUCGCGAAUCAGCAUGUCGCGGUGAAUACGUUCUCGGGGUUUGUACACACCGCCCGUC
Molecule: ribosomal RNA, 1246 nt
Filed under: 'Dendrocalamus asper' aster yellows phytoplasma
Lineage: Bacteria; Bacillati; Mycoplasmatota; Mollicutes; Acholeplasmatales; Acholeplasmataceae
Description: bacterial SSU rRNA
Rfam family: Bacterial small subunit ribosomal RNA
Source: RNAcentral